UCAAGAAACUUCCACAAUGGGCGAAAGCCUGAUCCAGCCAUGCCGCGUGUGUGAAGAAGGUCUUCGGAUUGUAAAGCACUUUAAGUUGGGAGGAAGGGCAGUUACCUAAUACGUGAUUGUUUUGACGUUACCGACAGAAUAAGCACCGGCUAACUCUGUGCCAGCAGCCGCGGUAAUACAGAGGGUGCAAGCGUUAAUCGGAAUUACUGGGCGUAAAGCGCGCGUAGGUGGUUUGUUAAGUUGGAUGUGAAAUCCCCGGGCUCAACCUGGGAACUGCAUUCAAAACUGACAAGCUAGAGUAUGGUAGAGGGUGGUGGAAUUUCCUGUGUAGCGGUGAAAUGCGUAGAUAUAGGAAGGAACACCAGUGGCGAAGGCGACCACCUGGACUGAUACUGACACUGAGGUGCGAAAGCGUGGGGAGCAAACAGGAUUAGAUACCCCGGUAGUCCCUGAGCGGGCUGGCAAGGCGCAU
RNAcentral lists this ribosomal RNA (472 nucleotides) under uncultured bacterium. RNAcentral describes it as "bacterial SSU rRNA". It matches the Rfam family "Bacterial small subunit ribosomal RNA", at positions 355 to 825 of the family's 1533-position model. The record is from RNAcentral.